GUGGGGAAUAUUGGACAAUGGGCGAAAGCCUGAUCCAACCAUGCCGCGUGAGUGAUGAAGGCCUUAGGGUUGUAAAGCUCUUUCAGUAGGGAAGAUAAUGACGGUACCUACAGAAGAAGCCCCGGCUAACUUCGUGCCAGCAGCCGCGGUAAUACGAAGGGGGCUAGCGUUGUUCGGAUUUACUGGGCGUAAAGCGCACGUAGGCGGAUUGGUCAGUUAGAGGUGAAAUCCUGGAGCUCAACUCCAGAACUGCCUUUAAUACUGCCAGUCUAGAGUCCAGAAGAGGUGAGUGGAACUCCUAGUGUAGAGGUGGAAUUCGUAGAUAUUAGGAAGAACGCCAGUGGCGAAGGCGGCUCACUGGUCUGGUACUGACGCUGAGGUGCGAAAGCGUGGGGAGCAAACAGGAUUAGAAACCCCAGUAGUCC
This 425-nucleotide ribosomal RNA is filed under the name uncultured bacterium. Its description in RNAcentral is "bacterial SSU rRNA". It matches the Rfam family "Bacterial small subunit ribosomal RNA", at positions 354 to 796 of the family's 1533-position model. The record is from RNAcentral.